AUUGAACGCUGGCGGCAGGCCUAACACAUGCAAGUCGAGCGAGCGGCGGACGGGUGAGUACUUUCUCGGAAACUGCCUGCUGGAGUGGGAUAACUACUGGACACGGUAGCUAAUACCGCAUACCAUCUGAUGUGCCCAGAUGGGAUUAUCUAGUAGGUUGGGUAACGGCUCACCUAGGCGACGAUCCCUAGCUGGUCUGAGAGGAUGACCAGCCACACUGGAACUGAGACACGGUCCAGAGUCCGACGUGAGGCAGCAGUGGGGAAUAUUGCACAAUGGGCGCAAGCCUGAUGCAGCCAUGCCGCGUGUGUGAAGAAGGCCUUCGGGUUGUAAAGCACUUUCAGCGGGGAGGCGUUACCCGCAGAAGAAGCACCGGCUAACUCCGUGCCAGCAGCCGCGGUAAUUC
This 406-nucleotide ribosomal RNA is filed under the name uncultured bacterium. RNAcentral describes it as "partial 16S ribosomal RNA". It matches the Rfam family "Bacterial small subunit ribosomal RNA", at positions 30 to 526 of the family's 1533-position model. The record is from RNAcentral.